AACGAACGCUGGCGGCAUGCCUAACACAUGCAAGUCGAACGAGACCUUCGGGUCUAGUGGCGCACGGGUGCGUAACGCGUGGGAACCUGCCCUUAGGUUCGGAAUAAAUCCCCGAAAGGGGUGCUAAUACCGGCUAAUGUCUUCGGACCAAAGAUUUAUCGCCUUUGGAUGGGCCCGCGUUGGAUUAGCUAGUUGGUAGGGUAAAAGCCUACCAAGGCGACGAUCCAUAGCUGGUCUGAGAGGAUGAUCAGCCACACUGGGACUGAGACACGGCCCAGACUCCUACGGGAGGCAGCAGUGGGGAAUAUUGGACAAUGGGCGAAAGCCUGAUCCAGCAAUGCCGCGUGAGUGAUGAAGGCCUUAGGGUUGUAAAGCUCUUUUACCCGGGAUGAUAAUGACAGUACCGGGAGAAUAAGCUCCGGCUAACUCCGUG
This 433-nucleotide ribosomal RNA is filed under the name uncultured bacterium. RNAcentral describes it as "partial 16S ribosomal RNA". It matches the Rfam family "Bacterial small subunit ribosomal RNA", at positions 29 to 507 of the family's 1533-position model. The record is from RNAcentral.